Molecule: ribosomal RNA, 486 nt
Filed under: uncultured bacterium
Lineage: Bacteria
Description: partial 16S ribosomal RNA
Rfam family: Bacterial small subunit ribosomal RNA
Source: RNAcentral
AUUGAACGCUGGCGGCAUGCCUUACACAUGCAAGUCGAACGGCAGCACGGGUGCUUGCACCUGGUGGCGAGUGGCGAACGGGUGAGUAAUACAUCGGAACAUGUCCUGUAGUGGGGGAUAGCCCGGCGAAAGCCGGAUUAAUACCGCAUACGAUCUACGGAUGAAAGCGGGGGACCUUCGGCCUUCGCGCUUUCGGGUUUGCCGAUGGCUGAUUAGCUAGUUGGGGGGGUAAAGGCCCACCCAGGCGAAGAUCAGUAGCCGGUCUGAGAGUACGACCAGCCAAACGGGGGAUGAGAAAAGGGCCAGACUCCUACGGGAGGGCGACGGGGGGAAAUUUGGACAAGGGGGGGAAGGCUGGACCCGCCAUACCGCGGUGGGGAAGAAGGGCCUUGGGUUUGAAAAGCCUUUUUUUCGGAAAGAAAAGCAGUGGCCCAAAAACGGGCGGGGGAGACGGGAACCAAAGGAUAAGCCACGGGUAAACUAGUU